Molecule: ribosomal RNA, 447 nt
Filed under: Triticum aestivum (bread wheat)
Lineage: Eukaryota; Viridiplantae; Streptophyta; Magnoliopsida; Poales; Poaceae
Description: partial small subunit ribosomal RNA
Source: RNAcentral
AUGACAUACCAGACUGGUUUAAAACCACCAGGUGGCCUGUGGCAAGACAACAAAAAUGGACACUCUGCUGGCAACCCCAUCCUCCAUGACAUCAACAAGCACCGGUACCAUGCUUUCUUUUACAACAACUCAACUUCCUUCAUGGCCUCAAUCGUAGUCGUUGUCAUGCUGCUUCCAUUGACGACAUUUCACAAUCACAAUCUGCCACUUUGGCCGAUGCAUACAGCCAUUUUACUGGAUAUGUUUAGCCUCCUUGUGGCCUAUGCAGCAGGUAGUAAUAGGAAGUGGGAAACCUCCAGAAAUGUCAUACUUCUCAUCAUCCCAGUGUUGGCCUACAUUGCAGUCUACGCAACACUGUCAGUCUUCUACCAUAGGAAAGACCAAAGUUCUAGUAAUGAGAACGCCAAUUCCGACGCCACUGAUACAAUGACCGACACCACUGCUUGA